RNAcentral lists this ribosomal RNA (497 nucleotides) under uncultured bacterium. RNAcentral's name for it is "partial 16S ribosomal RNA". It matches the Rfam family "Bacterial small subunit ribosomal RNA", at positions 28 to 507 of the family's 1533-position model. The record is from RNAcentral.
GAUGAACGCUGGCGGCGUGCCUAAUACAUGCAAGUCGAGCGAACGGACGAGAAGCUUGCUUUUCUGAUGUUAGCGGCGGACGGGUGAGUAACACGUGGAUAACCUACCUAUAAGACUGGGAUAACUUCGGGAAACCGGAGCUAAUACCGGAUAAUAUUUUGAACCGCAUGGUUCAAAAGUUAAAGACGGUCUUGCUGUCACUUAUAGAUGGAUCCGCGCUGCAUUAGCUAGUUGGUAAGGUAACGGCUUACCAAGGCAACGAUGCAUAGCCGACCUGAGAGGGUGAUCGGCCACACUGGAACUGAGACACGGUCCAGACUCCUACGGGAGGCAGCAGUAGGGAAUCUUCCGCAAUGGGCGAAAGCCUGACGGAGCAACGCCGCGUGAGUGAUGAAGGUCUUCGGAUCGUAAAACUCUGUUAUUAGGGAAGAACAUAUGAGUAAGUAACUGUGCACAUCUUGACAGUACCUAAUCAGAAAGCCACGGCUAACUACGUG